GAAAUGCGAUAAGUAAUAUGAAUUGCAGAUCUCAGUGAAUCAUCGAAUCUUUGAACGCACAUUGCGCCCCUUGGUAUUCCGAGGGGCAUGCCUGUUCGAGCGUCAUUAUCACCCCUCAAGCCUAGCUUGGUGUUGGGGCUCGCUGUAAAGGCGGCCCUUAAAAUCAGUGGCAGUGUCUUCCAGACUCUAAGCGUAGUAAUAACGCCGCUAUAGAGUGCUGUGGGCGCGCGCCAAAACCCCAAAUUUUUUACGAUUGACCUCGAAUCAGGUAGGGAUACCCGCUGAACUUAA
RNAcentral lists this unclassified non-coding RNA (291 nucleotides) under uncultured Leotiomycetes. RNAcentral's name for it is "sequence contains ITS1". The stretch from base 1 to 105 matches the Rfam family "5.8S ribosomal RNA", at positions 50 to 154 of the family's 154-position model. The record is from RNAcentral. Lineage: Eukaryota; Fungi; Ascomycota; Leotiomycetes.